Molecule: ribosomal RNA, 1346 nt
Filed under: uncultured bacterium
Lineage: Bacteria
Description: partial 16S ribosomal RNA
Rfam family: Bacterial small subunit ribosomal RNA
Source: RNAcentral
GACGGACGCUGGCGGCGUGCUUAACACAUGCAAGUCGAACGGAAAGGCCCUGCUUUUGUGGGGUGCUCGAGUGGCGAACGGGUGAGUAACACGUGAGUAACCUGCCCUUGACUUUGGGAUAACUUCAGGAAACUGGGGCUAAUACCGGAUAGGAGCUCCUGCUGCAUGGUGGGGGUUGGAAAGUUUCGGCGGUUGGGGAUGGACUCGCGGCUUAUCAGCUUGUUGGUGGGGUAGUGGCUUACCAAGGCUUUGACGGGUAGCCGGCCUGAGAGGGUGACCGGCCACAUUGGGACUGAGAUACGGCCCAGACUCCUACGGGAGGCAGCAGUGGGGAAUAUUGCACAAUGGGCGGAAGCCUGAUGCAGCAACGCCGCGUGCGGGAUGACGGCCCUCGGGUUGUAAACCGCUUUCGCCUGUGACGAAGCGUGAGUGACGGUAAUGGGUAAAGAAGCACCGGCUAACUACGUGCCAGCAGCCGCGGUGAUACGUAGGGUGCGAGCGUUGUCCGGAUUUAUUGGGCGUAAAGGGCUCGUAGGUGGUUGAUCGCGUCGGAAGUGUAAUCUUGGGGCUUAACCCUGAGCGUGCUUUCGAUACGGGUUGACUUGAGGAAGGUAGGGGAGAAUGGAAUUCCUGGUGGAGCGGUGGAAUGCGCAGAUAUCAGGAGGAACACCAGUGGCGAAGGCGGCUCUCUGGGCCUUUCCUGACGCUGAGGAGCGAAAGCGUGGGGAGCGAACAGGCUUAGAUACCCUGGUAGUCCACGCUGUAAACGGUGGGUACUAGGUGUGGGGUCCAUUCCACGGGUUCCGUGCCGUAGCUAACGCUUUAAGUACCCCGCCUGGGGAGUACGGCCGCAAGGCUAAAACUCAAAGGAAUUGACGGGGCCCCGCACAAGCGGCGGAGCAUGCGGAUUAAUUCGAUGCAACGCGUAGAACCUUACCUGGGUUUGACAUGGAUCGGGAGUGCUCAGAGAUGGGUGUGCCUCUUUUGGGGUCGGUUCACAGGUGGUGCAUGGCUGUCGUCAGCUCGUGUCGUGAGAUGUUGGGUUAAGUCCCGCAACGAGCGCAACCCUUGUUCACUGUUGCCAGCACGUUAUGGUGGGGACUCAGUGGAGACCGCCGGGGUCAACUCGGAGGAAGGUGGGGAUGACGUCAAGUCAUCAUGCCCCUUAUGUCCAGGGCUUCACGCAUGCUACAAUGGCUGGUACAGAGAGUGGCGAGCCUGUGAGGGUGAGCGAAUCUCGGAAAGCCGGUCUCAGUUCGGAUUGGGGUCUGCAACUCGACCUCAUGAAGUCGGAGUCGCUAGUAAUCGCAGAUCAGCAACGCUGCGGUGAAUACGUUCCCGGGGCU